Zea mays is the source of this 5115-nucleotide RNA transcript. It is a transcript of the gene named Acetamidase/Formamidase family protein, with no coding region annotated. Lineage: Eukaryota; Viridiplantae; Streptophyta; Magnoliopsida; Poales; Poaceae. The record is from RefSeq and is marked provisional. The transcript is spliced from 7 exons.
UCCCAAGUGUAUAUUUGCUUGAAAAAAUGUUUUCUUGUGUUCCUUUUCUCCUUCCUGUUUUUACCAUUAGCAGAUUCAUUAACAUGCCUAUCCUACCACUAUAAAGGUACACAAAGCUUCCGAAGGGAAGAAGCUCUUGAGAAGAUACUGCAAUGAUGGCUCCUCUGUCUCCUAGACUGGUAGUGCCCGUAGACGUGAAGAAGCUGCCGCGGGAGCAAAAGGUCCCUCUCCACAACCGCUGGCACCCGGAUAUCCCUCCUGUUGCUGAUGUAACCGAAGGGGAAUUGUUCCGCGUUGAGAUGGUCGAUUGGAGUGGAGGGCGGGUUAGGGAUGAUAACUCUGCAGAUGAUCUGAAAUUCAUGGAUUUCACAAUUGCUCAUUAUCUUAGUGGGCCCCUAAGAAUAGUUGAUUCUGAAGGGGUUCCAGCUUCACCAGGUGAUCUUCUCGCGGUAGAAAUCUGCAACCUUGGCCCACUUCCUGGCGACGAGUGGGGUUACACCGCAAUACUUGAAAGGGAGAAUGGAGGUGGAUUCUUAACUGACCACUUCCCUAGCGCAAGAAAAGCCAUCUGGUAUUUCGAAGGAAUUUACGCAUGCUCCCCGCAGAUACCAGGUGUUCGUUUUCCAGGAUUGACUCAUCCUGGUGUUGUGGGAACUGCACCGUCACUUGAGCUCCUAAAUAUAUGGAAUGAAAGAGAGAAAAGUUUGUCUGAGACAAGCCUAGAGACUAUUAAACUGUGUGAAGUUCUACACCAGAGGCCCCUUGCUCAUUUACCGACCCCUGAAAAUUGCUUACUUGGGAAGGUCCAAGAAGGGACUGCUGAAUGGCACAUAAUUGCAAACGAAGCGGCCAGAACUAUUGCUGGAAGGGAAAAUGGCGGGAAUUGCGACAUAAAGAACCUAAGCAGAGGCUCCAGAAUUUAUCUACCAGUGUUUGUCGAAGGAGCAAACCUCAGCACUGGUGACAUGCACUUCUCCCAGGGGGACGGCGAGAUUUCGCUGUGUGGAGCAAUUGAAAUGAGCGGGUUCCUUGAGCUCAAGUGUGAGAUCAUAAGAGGUGGGAUGAAGGAAUACUUGACUCCAGUUGGUCCAACACCACUCCAUGUGAGCCCCAUCUUUGAGAUAGGUCCUGUGGAGCCACGUUUCUCGGAGUGGUUAGUGUUUGAGGGCAUCAGCGUAGAUGAGUCUGGGAAGCAACAUUUUCUUGACGCAUCUGUGGCCUACAAGCGUGCAGUUCUGAACGCCAUUGAGUACCUUUCCAAGUUCGGGUACUCUAAGGAGCAGGAACAGUCUGGAUUGGGGUAAAAACCCCGUGGACCAAAUCCGCUUGGAUGAAAUCCCGGCCCACACGAUAGCAGCGUUCGUUUAAUCCCGCUCGGGCCUCGACCCCGGCCCACCCCGGCCGUUCCCACCUCAGCCUAGCCGGGAUACAAUCCUCCUCCCUCCGGCGUGGAAAGAAACCACGCGACCUGUGAGAAGAGCGCUCGCGGCGCGCGAGGCGGCGGCGGUGACGGCAUGGAGGCACUGUGGCGUUGUUGUGGCGCCAACGAUUCGUCGCGUACAUCAUCCGACAAUUCGUCGUGUACAUCAUCUAGGAGAUUCGGCUACACGAGAUCCAGCGGUGGCAUUGACACCGGCUGGCCAGCGUCCACGAGGGGAAUGGCAAUUGACUGACCGACGCUAUCCCUAUGGUGUUUGCUUCUCAUCCAUACUCAGGUUCUCCUCCUCCUCUAACUCCUUUCCAUCUACUGACCGUGAACUAGAGAUCUUGGUGCUAGGGUUCUUGGGUCCAUGUGGAUUGCUCAUGAGUUCAUAUGUUGUGGCCUAAGUUGAGUUAUAUUGGUGUGUACCAUACUGGCUAGACAAUGAGAAAGUUCCUUUGUCUGUAGUUUUCUUGAGACAUAGAGUUGCAGUCUUUGGAAUAGCAAGCAGCUUGGAUGUUCGUGCAUAGACCCAAUAUGUGAAGUUGCUUGGUGCAAAAAGUGAUUUUCUGGAUAUCGCAUAGGUUUGCUAAGAGUAAUCUGAUAGUUUCAUUGUUGCAUAGAUGUCAUAGGAUAGCAGAGACCCCAAACUCAAUUAACAAAUAAGCAUUGUUAUUUAUAGUAUGAAACAACUAUCAGAGAACGCUUAAUUCACCAUACCCGUCCAGGUUUAAGCAUACCACUGGCUAGUUCUAGGUUUCUAGCUUCAAGAACAAGAACCCAAUGUGCAAUUUGUUGUGAUCGAGUCAGCCUGACCGCGAAUAUACUAGUAUACUAAUUGGUCUCACCUCUUCUUGUACUCAUUGGUGGCCAUCGCCUUGCAUGAUUAAAGAGAAAUUGGAUCAUUAGGUACCUUGUUUUGAACAAAGCUGACAAAUUAAAGUGUCUGAUUUUUUUUUCAGUUUAUAUAUCAAGCUUUUGACUAGCCUUAGGCAAUUGCCUCAUCGGUCCACGUAAACUUGUUUCUUAGGCAUAUUUGGAAUCUACUCCCAUGUUAUUGUAAGGUAGCUCACAAAAAUCAAUUGUUUAAGAACCACAUGCCCUCACAACUUCACUUGUUUUCUGGAGCAUCUGUUUGACUAAAACACAUAAAACGAAACUGAAAAAAUACAGGAGAGCAGUCCCAAAUAGAGCCUUACAAAAUUAGUGUGGCAAAAUAUCCAACAUAUAUCAUUCAAGAAACGAUAAUAGAGAUGCCUCUUUUUUUACAAAAGUGACAUAAUUCACAACCAUCUCUAUCAUGUUCUCUAUCGGGACCCACUAACAUAAUUGCCUCUGAAAAUAUGUUUUCAAAGAUGGCUGGGAUUUCCAAGCCUUUUGAAAAUAUGCACCCAACCACUGAGGUUCAAGUCCUUGACUUGAAGUCGAGUGUGUAUAUACCAGCAUGCUGAUAUGGCUUGUCACUCAAAUUUAGCUCAUAUCGUAAUUUAGUAUGUGUAGUGAAUUAAUACAUAGAGGUUGUACUUGUAGGAGGACACAAUCCGAUGGACCUGAAUUAGCACCGGUAAAGAACCGAUCAAAUUUUUUUAUUUAGUUCCAACUAUAGUUGAAAUUGUCACAGUUUAUCUACAUGUCUUUUAGUUCUGGCACUUUUGUCAAUGUUGUUCUAAUGCACUAUGUGAUAAUGGAGGGACAUCUGAUUUUUUAAGUUCAGAAGCUCGGUGCCAAAAGCAGACACCUUCAUUUGUUUUCUUGUUCUUCGGUAGUAGUUUUGUUCUUUGGAUUUUUGUCGGCUGUCUGAGCUUUGACGUGAGGUUUGCAAACCCUUUACUUUGUCUGCAAAAUGUUAAGGAAACAAGCAUGUUAAGAAUCCUUCUGAUUACAAAUUUAAGCUAUUUUGCAAAAUGUUAAAGCAACAAGCAUAUUUAGAAUCCUUCUGAUUUCAAAUUUAAGCUAUUCUGCAAAAUGUUAAGGCAACAAGCAUAUUUAGAAUCCUUCUGAUUACAAAUUUAAGCUAUUCUGAAUCAAAUGACAGCAAACGCAGAUCUGCUAUGAGAAUAAGGAAUAAACUAAAACUGGAGCUGUGAUAUCGACAACAAUAAAAUUGUUUAGUGUUUUAACAAACAAUUUAUAUAUAACUAAGAGAAAGGGACAUUUGUAUUUGCGGCAGAUUUAGCUGUAAGUCUGUAACCCAUCCCAUCUUCAGGGAAAAUCAGUCUUUCGUUCUUGUUUCUAUAUUUUUUUUUAGAAAUGUGAUUGGAUUUGAAAAAAGUCAGAACUAAAAAUGUUUUUAUAAUUGGGAUCAAAUUUAAAAGAGCCUAGACUUGAAAUAGAAUCAGAAUAUGUGGAUAUAUAGAAACGAGACAUGAUUUAAUAUUCUCAAUUACUCAUAUGUAAAGGCACACGGUAAUUUAGGAUCAAGGUAUCAUUGGUUUCCCUAACAGAGACCAGUAGCUCUAAACCCCAGAAAAGAGGAAGCUUAGUUUGUUUUUUUACUCUUGAUUCAGUCAGGUGGCAUAUACUAAAUUGUAGAUUUGGUUCUACCAUGAGAUACUUGUUUUAGUCAGUAUGUUGAUUAUUUUUAAAGCAAAACACUGAAUAUUCACCUCGCUUAAAUAGCUUUAUAUCUUUGAAGUAAAGGGGUCAAGUGCAUGCAUGAAGUAGUUGUAGUCUUCAGAGGAGGAAUGUCUUCUCUAUUUAUAUUGUCUAAGUGUCAUUCUAAUUAGUGUAUUGAAGACCUUUUCUCACUGGUUGUUACGUGCUUGUUCUAUCAAAAAGAUAGAUGCAUCAUUAUCUGGAUCCAUGAUCUCGUCAUGUUUAGUUUACAGGAGAUGUAGUGUUUAGCAACUUAUCAGUUUUAACAAACCAUGAGAUUGUUGUGUUUGUUGUUUGAAAAGACGUUGUAAUAAGGUUGCCUUCGCCGUAACAAAAAUUUAGACUGGGUUGAGCUUUUAGAUUAUCCCACAGCGCAGCCGUUAUCAGUUCUGGACGCCUUUUGGUUACGUGGCCAUUCAGAACACAAAGUGCAUGUCUCCCUGGAUUAACCGAACAAUAUUUUGGAGUUAGGGAUUACAGCCUUGAAGGGGAUUAUACCCCCAAGGGGUUCAAGUGAUAGGAGGGGAUUAACUUAAUCCCUCCCUGGAACGUAUCCCUCUCUGGAAUGAAUCCCUGUGAACCGAACAAGCCCUGAGUGGUAUCUUAACCUCGGGGGUUGGGGAUUUUAUACAGGUGUAUCUUUUACUAUCAUGCUGCCCAUGCGAGGGUAGGAUAUCUGGAAUAGUGGACUCUCCUAAUGCUGUAACAACUCUUGCCAUCCCUACAGCGAUAUUUGAUCAGGAUAUAAAGCCAAAACGCGUGAAGGGGAGACCACUUGGAGGACCACAGUUGAGAAGACUUCCAGAUCUUCUAAGCUGCUCAAAUCAUGGACGCCUUCCUGCCACCCAAGACAGAAGUGGUACAAGCGCGCCCUAGUAUAUGGAAACAGAUGCAGUAUCAAUCGACAUGCAACUGUGCCAAGGCUAUAAUCAAGAAUGCGUUUGUCUUUUUUUUUUUAUUUUCUUCGUCUAAUAAAAAUUACGAUAAAGCUUUUGCCGUUCUUUAGAAAAAAAUAAUCAAGAAUUAUCCUCGAUUCAUCAGGUUGUCAUCGUGAAUGAGAGUGAGCCUUUUGGUUUUAUACCAGCCAGGCUCUUUUUAAA